CAUUAAUGAAAUAACAAGUCGGCGGAUUGUGCUGGCGCUUCUGCGCAUGUGCACGUCCGUUGCAAAUCCACACACCUGUGCACUUUAGACUCGGAGAGCAUGGCCUUAGGGUCGUGCCUCGGAGUAUUUUACACACGCUGCAUGUAAAAGGAUGAAGUUAGUGCCUAUGCACGAAAAACAUACAACUUUCAACAACGGAUCUCUUGGCUCUCGCAUCGAUGAAGAACGCAGCGAAAUGCGAUAAGUAAUGUGAAUUGCAGAAUUCAGUGAAUCAUCGAAUCUUUGAACGCACCUUGCACCCUUUGGUAUUCCGAAGGGUACACCCGUUUGAGUGUCAUUGUACUCUCACGCCCAAAGGUUUUCGAACCGGAGGGACCGUGGACUUGGACGCCUUGUCGCUUCAUCGCGACACGUCUCAAAUGCAUUAGUAUGACCUGCUUGCAAAAGUGUCAUCUGGUGUGAUAAGCAUCUUCACCAGAGUUAUUGGGACCCUCUCAGAGGAACCCGCACGGAGCUCACCUUUGGUCGGCUGCCAAUCGUCCGCUCUGGACAAACUUACUUUUGACAAUUUGACCUCAAAUCGGGUGGGACUACCCGCUGAACUUAA
This 607-nucleotide ribosomal RNA is filed under the name uncultured Sebacinaceae. RNAcentral describes it as "eukaryotic LSU rRNA". The stretch from base 184 to 337 matches the Rfam family "5.8S ribosomal RNA". The record is from RNAcentral. Lineage: Eukaryota; Fungi; Basidiomycota; Agaricomycetes; Sebacinales; Sebacinaceae.